This is a non-coding RNA of Danio rerio (zebrafish), 563 nucleotides long. Lineage: Eukaryota; Metazoa; Chordata; Actinopteri; Cypriniformes; Danionidae. The record is from RefSeq and is a predicted model, not a curated record.
UUUAAACCUGAUUGGUUGGUGCUUGGGAUACGUCACGUCCGACUCCGACGCACUGGUUUGGGUGUCUGUAGCCGCGGCUACAGUGCAUCGUGUGGCGGUGGCUUUUCCCUUGGCUGUGGUGGCUGGAUGACUGUUCAAUUGCAGGAACUGAGGUUUCCCCCGGUGGAUGACGGGUCACUUUCCACUGGUGGUGGUGUUUCUCUACCCUGUGCUGUGGGACACUGAGUGCGUGAUAGCGUGAUUUUUGAGUGCACUUUGGUGUGUGCGUGUGCUGGGGUAAAGUCUGUCCACUCGUACCCAGUCAGUGGGAACCUCCAAUCCUGGUUUGGUUUUGUUUAUUUAUUGUUUCUUGUGUUUAAUAAUGAAGUGGGAGUUUUUGAUGUGUUUUUAAGGACCGUACAAUUUGACAGUUUUAUUCCAAAUAAAUAUUUUUGUACUUUUGCAUUACCUCACGUCUCUGUGCCUUUCUGGGAGAAACGAACCUGUGUCCUUUUCUAAUAGUUGUUUCCCUGGGUAACUCCCGGGGUGGCGUAGUCGGUUAUUUUUAUUUAAAGAGAUUUAAA